ACUUAAAUAGUUUAAAUAAAAUUAUGAUUUGUGAUAUCAUAGAUAUAAGAAAGUUAUUUUAGGUU
Molecule: transfer RNA, 65 nt
Filed under: Hestiasula sp. FS-2017
Lineage: Eukaryota; Metazoa; Arthropoda; Insecta; Mantodea; Hymenopodidae
Description: tRNA-His
Source: RNAcentral